GCGAUUUAUUUUGGUUGCUUAUGAAUCCUUGCUAAUUAUUAUAAUUAUGAAAAAUAUUUUGGGGUUUAAGUAGGUAGUUAGGGAAAUAAAAAUUAUUAGCGAUAGAUAAUAGUACUGUAUAGGAAAGUUGAAAUAUAUUGGUGAAAUGAAUGGAAAGUAUUAGUCAGAUUAAGUACCUUGUGUAUUAGGGAUAUUUUACAUUAAAUAUUUAUGGUAUUUUUCCCGAAAUAAGGAUAGCUAAAUUAAGGCUUGAGUUUUUGUUGUAAAAAAAUUCAAAACUUUGUUUUAGUAGUGAAAUGUUAAUCGAGUCUUGAGAUAUCUGGUUUUUUUUGAAAAAAAUUCAAUUUUUACUUUGUAGUAAGGUAGUGCAGGGUUUAGGAAUAGAGGGGGUAAGCUCUUUAUUUAAUUAUUUUAGUUAUAAAAAUAAAUAAGAGGGGUGUUAGACUAGGCUUAGAGGCAGCCAUGUUUACAGGGGGUUAUAUCUGAGGUAUAAGAAAAAGAAUAUUUAUUAUUUUUUAAGUAGGUAGGAAAGACUGUUUAUAAAUUUAGUUUAGAAAUUUAGAAUGAAUAUAUUAGUAUAUGAAUUGUUUAUUUAUAUAAAUUUUGGAAAAUUUAAUGGAAUUUAUUAAAAGAGUGGCGGGUAUAAAGGAAUUCGGCAAAGGGUGCUUUCGCCUGUUUAUCAAAAACAUGUCUGUAUGAGAGUUAUAUAGAGUCUGGCCUGCCCAUUGGUGACUAAAAGGCCGCGGUAUUAUGACCGUGCGAAGGUAGCAUAAUCAUUAGUCUUUUAAUUGAAGGCUGGAAUGAAUGGUCGGACGAGAAGUAAGCUGUCUUUAUCUCGUGGAUUGAAUUUAAUUUUUAAGUGAAAAGGCUUAAAUGAAUUAGAGGGACGAUAAGACCCUAUAAAGUUUAUACAUGGGGCUGGUUGAGAGUGAUUCAGAAUAGUAAAGUUUAUUAUUAGCAAGAUGUUUAGUUGGGGCGACUAAGAUAUAAAUUAUAUAACUGUCUUUUGUUUAAAUCAGAGGUAUCUGUUCGUAUGAUCCUUUUUUAGGAUUGGAGAGUAAAUUACUUUAGGGAUAACAGCGUAAUUUUUUUUGAGAGUUCUUAUCGACAAAAGAGUUUGCGACCUCGAUGUUGAAUUAAAAAUUUCUUUGUGGUGUAGCAGUUACGUAAGAAGGUCUGUUCGACCUUUAAAUUUUUACAUGAUUUGAGUUCAGACCGGCGUGAGCCAGGUUGGUUUCUAUCUUCUAAGGAGUUUUAAGUUAUUUUAGUACGAAAGGAUUAAAUGAUUGAAAUAGUUUUAAUAAAGUCAGAAAAAAAGUAAACACUUUUUCUUUAAUUUCCAAAAUUAAUAUUUUAAAUAAACUAU
RNAcentral lists this ribosomal RNA (1366 nucleotides) under Cherax bicarinatus. Its description in RNAcentral is "16S ribosomal RNA". The stretch from base 594 to 1366 matches the Rfam family "Archaeal large subunit ribosomal RNA", at positions 1423 to 2851 of the family's 2987-position model. Lineage: Eukaryota; Metazoa; Arthropoda; Malacostraca; Decapoda; Parastacidae. The record is from RNAcentral.